Molecule: ribosomal RNA, 488 nt
Filed under: uncultured bacterium
Lineage: Bacteria
Description: bacterial SSU rRNA
Rfam family: Bacterial small subunit ribosomal RNA
Source: RNAcentral
GAACGCUAGCGACAGGCCUAACACAUGCAAGUCGAGGGGCAGCAUGAAAUUAGCUUGCUAAUUUUGAUGGCGACCGGCGCACGGGUGAGUAACACGUAUGCAACCUGCCUGUAAGCGGGGGAUAACCCGGAGAAAUCCGGACUAAUACCCGAUGGCAUGCAUUUCCGGCAUCGGAGAUGCAUUAAAGAUUUUAUCGGUGACGGAUGAGGAUGCGUACGAUUAGCUGGUUGGCGGGGUAACGGCCCACCAAGGCAACGAUCGUUAGGGGUUCUGAGAGGAAGGUCCCCCACACUGGAACUGAGACACGGUCCAGACUCCUACGGGAGGCAGCAGUGAGGAAUAUUGGUCAAUGGGCGAGAGCCUGAACCAGCCAAGUAGCGUGAAGGAUGACUGCCCUACGGGUUGUAAACUUCUUUUGUUUGGGAAUAAAAGGCGCUACGUGUAGCGUUCUGCAUGUACCUUACGAAUAAGCAUCGGCUAAUUCCGUG